This is a non-coding RNA of Mus caroli (Ryukyu mouse), 467 nucleotides long. NCBI's taxonomy places the organism in Eukaryota, Metazoa, Chordata, Mammalia, Rodentia, Muridae. The record is from the annotation of a RefSeq genome assembly.
UUUGAAGAAAACAGGGUGUUGCCUAAAGGAUGAAAGUGUUGAGUCUUUUGUACCUGUUGACAGCCCUUCCUGGUAUCCUGUCUGAGGUACAGCUUCAGGAGUCAGGACCUGGCCUGGUGAAACCCUCUCAGUCUCUGUCCCUCACCUGCUCUGUCACUGGCUACUCCAUCACCAGUGGUUAUUACUGGAGCUGGAUCCGGCACUUUCCAGGAAACAAACUGGAGUGGAUGGGAUACAUAAGCUACGAUGGUAGCAAUAACUACAACCCAUCUCUCAAAAAUCGAAUCUCCAUCACUCGUGACACAUCUAAGAACCAGUUCUUCCUGAAGUUGAAUUCUGUGACUACUGAAGACACAGCCACAUAUUAUUGUGCAAGAGACACAGUGUGGAGCCUUCAGUGUGAGCCCAGACAUAAACCUCCUGUAGAGCAGCUCUGCACCAACAGGGGUCUUGUCACAUACCCUUAG